RNAcentral lists this long non-coding RNA (3346 nucleotides) under Equus asinus (donkey). RNAcentral describes it as "lncRNA (ENSEASG00005035888.1)". Lineage: Eukaryota; Metazoa; Chordata; Mammalia; Perissodactyla; Equidae. The record is from RNAcentral.
GUUAAAUUAUACUGCAGAGGGGCCGGCCCUGUGGCUGAGUGGGUUAAGUUCGUGUACUCUGCUUCAGCGGCCCAGGAUUUCACCAGUUCAGAUCCUGGGCAUGGGCCUAGCACCGUUCAUCGGGCCACGCUGAGGUGGCAUCUCACAUGCCACAACUAGAAGGACCCACAACUGAAAAUAUACAACUAUGUACCAGGGGGCUUUGGGGAGAAGAAGGAAGAAUAAAAUCUUAAACAAAAUUAAAAAACAAAUUAUGUUACAGAGUAAUACUAUUCAGCCAGGAAAAAAGUAAAUUUUUUUUCUUUUUUCAAGGUAUGUACUUCUUCUUUUUUGGUAAGGAAGAUUGGCCCAGAGCUAACAUCUGUUGCCAAUUUUCCUCCUUUUUUUUUCUGUUUUUUUUUUUUCCCCAAAGCCCCAGUACGUAGUUGUAUAUCCUAGUUGUAAGUCCUUCUAGCUCUUCUAUGUGGGAUGCUGCCACAGCAUGGCUUGAUGAGUGGUGUGUAGGUCUGUGCCCAGAAUCUGAAUCAGUGAACCACAGGCUGCCAAAGCAGAGAGUGUGAACUUAACCACUACGCCACUGGGCUGGCCCCCAAAAGUAAAUUUUCUACACUGUUACGGAACAAUCUCCAAGAUACAAGGGACAAAAGCAAGGCGCAGCACAGUUCAUAUAGUUCACUUCUAUUUGUGUAAAAAAGUGGAAAGUUAGGUGCACAGAACAUCUCUGGAAAGAGGCACAGGGAACUGGGAGGUCUGGUUGUUGAGGGGCAGAAGCUGGGUGGCUGGGAGACAGGGUGAGAGAGAGACUUUCUCCAUAUGCCCUUUUGAACUUUCGAAACUUUGAACUCCAUACAUUAAAAAAAAAAUACAAGACUAUAACAUUUUAAAAGAAUGUGCGCCUGCAGCUGCUCAUGUUCCCGUCUGGAAAUAAAGCUAAAUCAGAGGCCAGCAGAGCUAGAAACAGAGAAGAUCCCUGAUGACAUCAUGUGAGCACCUGCAUCCGGCUGGUUUGUUGUGUUCCAGCUCUGUGAGGCCUCCGAUUCUCCUUUUUGGUUUAAAUGCGUUUGAGCUGUGUUGGCAAGUUCUCAAUCAUGACGUCCAUCAAAGAUCACGAUGCGGUUUUUUUCCCCAGCUUUAGUGAGGAUUAAUUGACAAACGCGCUGUGUUUUAAUGACCUCUUUGCUUGUGUAUUAUUGCAGCUCCUGGUGCCAGCACAGUGCCUGGCAUUGUAGAAUGAAAGAGGCCUCAUUUACCAAGUGAUGAAAAUGAGGCCCAAGGAGCAAGCCAUUCGCUUCAGGACAUCCUGCAGGGCUCUGGCAUGUGGCUCCCCCACCACCCUGCUUCCCAGGGGCCCUGAGGCCUGGGCCUGUCCUGCUGCAGUGACAGGAGCUGGCUCCCUCGCGAAAGUGGCAGCAAGUGAUCAGGGUAUCACCAGGCCAAACAGGGCUGUCCUCACAGGAACAGUGGGCACACGGUCCUGCCCAAACCCAUCCCCCGACACGAUGCCUAGGAAUUCAGCAUUAGAAGCCAUUUGUCUGCUGCGCUGGGCUCUCUUUUAAAACGCUCCUCACUGAGACCGUAGUUCACCCUCAUUCAUUAUUCAUUUGCCUGCCUUGUUUCUGGCACUGUGCUUGGUAUUUGUGCAAGGAGAAUUACACAGGUUAAAAAGAUACCACUUUAUGUAUGUAUAUUAUGUUUUAUACAAAGAAACUUUAAAAAGAGAUAUUUUAUAUGUGAAAAAAAAGCAAAGUUGAUUAGCCAAUAAAAGAAGACCCCAUCAGGGCAUUUCUCUGAGCCAGGGUUUCCCCAAAUGUAAAAUCAAGACAAUACCUACCUUGGAGGAUGGUCAUGAGGUUUGACUGAUCACGGGAAGUGUUUACAACAUUCCUGAGAGCCCUGUCCUGAUAGCAUAAAAACUGGAAACAACCUAAAGGCUGGUGCUUGAGGGACAAGUUACAUAAACCAUGGUAAGACUUCUGGUUAAACAUGGAAGAUUGGCCGCGAGCAUUUGUCUUCUCUUCCUUCCAAAACUUAACUAAGUAACAGGAGAGGAGUCAAAGAGGCGUAGAUCCACAAGGACUGAGAGACCCAAGAGAAGACAGCAGCGGACAAAAGAUUUCAACAAGGCUUUGAUUCCAACGCAGCUGGACAGCCGAAGGGUGGCCGAAGGGUGGUGACAGGACAGGCAGGGCAGAGGGAGUCAGGACCUGAUGCCUGGAGAUCCUGCAGGUCCCCAGACCCCGGGUCAGAGCCUGGCUGAACACAGGGAUGCCUGAGAGUCUGUUCAAAGUGUUGAGCCCCUGGGGCUUCCUCACCUCUCGCACCUGAGCCCCACACGCCGCCCCUCUGCGCGCUCCUUUCAGGGAGGCUUUGGUCUUGGGGACACCUGGCCCAACAGAGGUGAGGCUUGAGCUAGAAACAGGAGCUGCGCCCUGCUCCAGAUCCCCACACCCGCACUGAGGGCACGGUAGGGAGAAUGGAAGAGAUUCUUCUCUCAAAAAACGAAAUGGCCCCGGAGAAAGCCUGCCACCUACCAGCAUUUGGGAGUCCCCAUGAAAAGGCUUUCGCUGACCCACAGCAAAGCAGGCAGACAGUGAGUGCCUCCCCACCCCAGCUUCCAAUCAUCCUCUUGGUGUGCCUCUAUUAAAUAUGAACAGAGAGCCAAGGCCCUGCAGACAUUUAAGGAAAGUCUCCAAAAUGAAAGAGAGAGGCUCCUCCCAUUUAUAUAUAAAAGCCAAUCAGAGAAAUUGGAUGAGACAAAAAUACUAGGGAGCACAAGAAAAAACAAACAAACCUACAAUUGGAAAGUAAAAAAGAAGGGGGGCAACUCAAUGCCUAUAGUCUGUUAGCAUUUCUAUUUAAAAAAAAAAAGAAGUAUCUAUGUUUGUCUCUGCACCAACCAUCCUGGAGGAUUUACAAGACUGGAGCCAGCAGCUGUGUCGGGUGGGGGUCCGGCAGCUCAGAACAAGGGCUGACUGUACAUUCUUUUGUACCCUUUGAAUUUUGAAUUUUGAUUGUGUUACCUAUAACCUACUUUAAAACCUAAUAUUGAAUUUUUUAAAUCUAAUUAUCACCGUUAGAGAGAUGAGAGAAGAUAUUGCAUAAAUAGAUAAAUAUAACAAAAAACUUCUUUUUUUCCCCCAAAAGGAGGAUACACAAAACCUUCUAGAAAGUAAAACAAAAAGACAAAUGAGUUGGGGGUGGCCAAGGGAACCUCAGCUUCAUGUCUAAUGUCUUAAUAUUUUGCGAGGAGAAUGGAGUCACAUUAUUUGUGUAAUUAAAAAACUGAGAGCAGGGGCUGGCCCUGUGGCUGCAUGGUUAAGUUAGCGCUGCACUCUGGCGGCCCGGG